CCUACGGGGGGCAGCAGUGAGGAAUAUUGGUCAAUGGGCGCGAGCCUGAACCAGCCAAGUAGCGUGAAGGAUGACUGCCCUACGGGUUGUAAACUUCUUUUAUAAAGGAAUAAAGUGAGGCACGUGUGCCUUUUUGUAUGUACUUUAUGAAUAAGGAUCGGCUAACUCCGUGCCAGCAGCCGCGGUAAUGCGGAGGAUUCGAGCGUUAUCCGGAUUUAUUGGGUUUAAAGGGAGCGUAGAUGGGUUGAUAAGUCAGUUGUGAAAGUUUGCGGCUCAACCGUAAAAUUGCAAUUGAUACUGGUAGUCUUGAGUACAGAUGAGGUAGGCGGAAUUCGUUGUGUAGCGGUGGAAUGCUUAGAUAUCACGAAGAACACCGAUUGCGAAGGCAGCUUACUAAACUGCCACUGACAUUGAUGCUCGAAAGUGUGGGUAGCAAACAGGAUUAGAUACCCUUGUAGUC
This 460-nucleotide ribosomal RNA is filed under the name uncultured bacterium. RNAcentral's name for it is "partial 16S ribosomal RNA". It matches the Rfam family "Bacterial small subunit ribosomal RNA", at positions 338 to 795 of the family's 1533-position model. The record is from RNAcentral.